This 234-nucleotide ribosomal RNA is filed under the name Triticum aestivum (bread wheat). RNAcentral describes it as "partial small subunit ribosomal RNA". The record is from RNAcentral. Lineage: Eukaryota; Viridiplantae; Streptophyta; Magnoliopsida; Poales; Poaceae.
AUGGCGAAGCUGUACGUGCAGGCGGUGCCCCCGCCGGAUCUGAACAAGAACACCGACUGGUUCAUGUACCCGGGGGUCUAGACCACCUACAUCUUCAUCCUCUUCGUCUCCUGGCUCCUCAUCCUCUCCAUCUUUGGCUGCACCCCCGGCAUGGCCUGGACGCUCGUCAACCUCGGCCACUUCGCGGUACCCGGCUCUCCCCCUCCCCUCCCUCCAUUCCUUACACGUCCUUGA